ACGGGUGAGUAACGCGUGGGAAUCUACCCAUCUCUACGGAAUAACGCAUGGAAACGUGUGCUAAUACCGUAUACGUCCUUCGGGAGAAAGAUUUACCGGAGAUGGAUGAGCCCGCGUUGGAUUAGCUAGUUGGUGGGGUAAAGGCCUACCAAGGCGACGAUCCAUAGCUGGUCUGAGAGGAUGAUCAGCCACACUGGGACUGAGACACGGCCCAGACUCCUACGGGAGGCAGCAGUGGGGAAUAUUGGACAAUGGGCGCAAGCCUGAUCCAGCCAUGCCGCGUGAGUGAUGAAGGCCCUAGGGUUGUAAAGCUCUUUCACCGGUGAAGAUAAUGACGGUAACCGGAGAAGAAGCCCCGGCUAACUUCGUGCCAGCAGCCGCGGUAAUACGAAGGGGGCUAGCGUUGUUCGGAUUUACUGGGCGUAAAGCGCACGUAGGCGGACUAUUAAGUCAGGGGUGAAAUCCCGGGGCUCAACCCCGGAACUGCCUUUGAUACUGGUAGUCUUGAGUUCGAGAGAGGUGAGUGGAAUUCCGAGUGUAGAGGUGAAAUUCGUAGA
RNAcentral lists this ribosomal RNA (557 nucleotides) under uncultured bacterium. RNAcentral's name for it is "bacterial SSU rRNA". It matches the Rfam family "Bacterial small subunit ribosomal RNA", at positions 102 to 694 of the family's 1533-position model. The record is from RNAcentral.